UGGUACCUUGUCUCAAAACACCCUAAUAUACGCUAGCAUAACGCCACCGUUCCUCCACUGUCUCCCACCGUCCACCGCCAGCUGGAAAUUGCCUCUGCCGCCGGCAAUACUCCGAUGACCCCCAAAACUACACCACAUCACAUCCUCGACCUCCUCUUUCCAUUUCUGUCAUUAGUGUCCCUCGAACAUAAGCCAAUCUUGUCGAACAAUUGUUUGAAUCGAUGGCUGCUCGCCGCACACCGCGGCGCCGAUGGCAAAUGACUCCAAAAAACCAUAGGUUCUCCGAACCUCCCUCAUCCCAAAUCUGUAAACCUUAGCCCUCGAAUGUCAGCCGAGCUCCUCGAAUGUUAAAUUGAAAUCUCCGGCCAAAUCUCACCAACCUCCAAACCUCUUCAAAAUCAUACCCUAUGGUCUCCUUGAUCGCCUCACCCCAAAUUCCAAACUAAAAUCCCUCAAACCCGGUUGGAAUCCCACCAAUUUUGGAUCUUGGGUUUCAUUUUAAAGAGGUCUAACCCUGAAUGGAUUUUUAAAUAUGCAAGUGAUCCCAAGUUAAUGUGAUUUGUUUGUUUUUGGCAAAAUAAACAUAUAACAUUAGCUUAGGAUCAAAUACAAGGUCAAUUCAAGUUGCGACCUAAAAAAGUGAGUUCUGAUCCUUUUCUUUCUUUCUUUGUUCUUUCUUUUUAUUUGCAUGUUUCUUCUGUCGUUCCUUUGCAUAUUUUCUUUUGCUUUUGGUUGAAUUAGAAUUUUUUGAUUUAGGUCUCUGAUUUUCAUAUAUUACAGCCGUAUAGUGUUAGUUUGUCCAUAUUUUGGAUUUGAUUAUGUGUUUUGACUUUGAGUAAAUGUCCAUGCUUGCCACUGAUUUUCUUUAGAUUUUUAGUAUUAUAGUUUUAUUGACCAUAUACUGGCUGUUAAUUUUCCCUAGAUUUUAGUUAGUUUCAUAGUACAACUGCAUGUGUGAGUUAUUAAUUUGUUCAUCUAUUUCUUCUGUUAGUUCAGUGAUUAGUUCAAGUGAUAAAAAACAGCUUUAAUACAUGGCACUAUUUAGAGUUAAUUUUCAGGUAGGUUAGUUAGAUUAGUUCAGUCUUUAGGAUUCGUUUUGGUAUGGCUGAGCAUGACCAGAUUAGUUUUAAAUUAACCUUAGUCAUUGUUGAUCAAGUUCAAGGGCUUAGGAUUAAUUGACUUAGCCUUAAGUUAAUCACUAACUCAAUUAAGCUACUCCUGCAAUUAUUUCUUUAGGUUUUAGUUUUCAAAUCUAGGUAAAUAACCUAUUUAGAUUGGGAAUGGUCUUUGACCCAAUUGGCUAAGCUUCAGCCUAUCCAAAUUGGAUUUGGGCCACUGGGUCAGACCUUGGCCCAUUUGAGGAAGGUCUCAGGGGUAUAUAUUGGUUAUCUCAAGGGUAGUUUGGGUAGUUUACAUAAAGGAUCUUGCAGUAACCAAUUUGGAACACCCUAGAACCUUCUAGAUUAGGUUUUAAUUAGAAUUUCAGAAAGUUAGUGGUAUAACUUGGGCAACAAGCCAAUAACUAAGGGACUAACUAAGCAAGAACUGAAAAUAAAGGAGGGACUUAGGUUGUAAAGUGAAAUCUGAAAGUUGCCAUCGGCUUUGCCUAUAAAAGGGAUACCCUUUGCCUUGUUUUAGGGGAUUUUUGGAUUUUUAUUAUUUUUGGCCUAAAAAAAAUUCUGAAAAAAAUCACAUAAAAAAAAUUCUUAGAGGUCAGAGAUCCAAAAUUUAAAAAAAAUAAAUCAAUAUCCCGUUGAGUUUUCUUAGGGAGAUCCUGAAGUUCUAAGUUCUGAGUUAGAUUUCCAGCUUAUCUAAGGGUUGAAAAUGGCUUGAAUUCUCGGGUGAUUCAGUAAUCGUGGUUUUCAGAAGUUCCUGGAGUCAUUCCUGGGUUUACUUGAGUUUAUUCAAGUUGUUUUUUUUUGUGUUGUUCAUUGGUGUUAUUUGAGUAAAAUUACUGCCUGGGCUACCUGAUAGUAUUUUCUGGGUGGAAUUACUUCAAAACUGCUGUUAAUUGCUGUGUGCUGCUGCUACUUAGCCGAACUUCGAUUUUUCUCUCAUUUUUGUUCAAAUUCUAGGUACACAUUAUGUAGCUCUCAAGUUUGGAAAUAAAAAUGAAAUGCUGCCUGAUUUCCUUGUUGAUUUUCACUGUUGUGUUUUUAGGAGUUUCAGAACUUCAGUAGAUCUUCAUUUGUAACUGAACUGUUCAGGACUGUAUAAUACUUUAAAAGAUUCCAUUUCCUUCUCAUAAUCAUAUGAACAUUGCAUUUAGAAGUGUUAUAUUCAAAUUAGAUUGAGUUUGAUGUUUAUGUUACCGUGUAUUAGUUUGAAAUCAGAAAUUCAAAAGCAGUGUGUUGAUUCAAAAAUGAUGUGUUAAUUCAAAAUCAGAAGUUAGCCAUGGUUUCGCCUAUGAUUCUAAUGUUAGAAGUCACUCGAAUGAGCUGGAAAUUUUCAGUUGUUUAAGCCUAGGAAUGUAAUGGCCUUGUUUGAAUCUCAUGUUAUAUAGUUCAUUAGUCUAUUAGAUACAUAUGACUCAUAUUCUAUUUGUAUACUUGUAUGAGAGGUUUUAUCUCAAACGUACAUCAUCAGUUGUUCUUUCAAAUUUUAAGCUGUGUUUCCAACGAACCAGAAAUUAAGUCUGGAUAUUGGUUUGUAAAUUAAAAUUUGCAGUUUAAAUCAUUCAUUACUUAUGCUUAAUAUUUUUACAUCUUGGUCAAAUAAUUAGUACAUGUGCUUAGCUAAAGCAGCUUUGAAUUUAAAAUGCUUGUUAAAUCGGAUUUGUCUGCUUAGUUAACUUGUAUCACAUGAUUUGAAUGAUUUUCAGGAACCUGUUAAUUAGCCUUCCUAUUUCAUGAGAACGUGUGCUUUAGUAUUGUAUUUUGGACCAUGGUUUUAUCAGGUCACGAGAACCAGGCCUAAUGAAGGCCCAGUCAUGACCGGUGCCAUUUUGAGUGUACAUCUUUGGGCUUGGCUCCAAUUGGCGCCCAUUUUAUAUCUCAAAUUUCAUCUAAAGUAGGAAUGUAUUUGUAUUGAUGGUUGGACCUUUGGUUCAUUCAUGCUGAGCCCAAAGAUUGAGCCCCAUAAGUUAUUUUCACACCUGAAUCACAGAUGGAUCUGAGUACUGUGGCUUGUUUGGGCCACUGGCAUACUUAGUUAUAGUUAAUUGAUUAGGACUCAUUUCAACAAUUGGUUUUAGUCCAUAACUAGAUCACAAAUAGUUCAGGGCAUUCCAUGUGCUAAUAUAAAUGUCCUUUUAAAAUAAAUAUGACUUGCGCCGCGCUAAAUAAAAAUCAUAAAUUGCGUGGCCCUCUUUAAUUAUCUCCAUUAAAAUAUUUAGAAAUUGGGCGGCCAUUUAGCGAAUUUUCAUGGCCUCCCGCAAAGUUAAUAAUGUGUUAGUCGCUUUAGGAACGCUCCUUAAUAAUUUUACCUUCCUAAAUUCUGGUCCGCAUUUAUGUGACCCAAAUUCAAAUCUCAACGGUGUUAAAAGUUAUCAAAAAUCACGGGUGCAUUUAUGUGACGUGAUUCGGGACGCAUUUUAAUAUUGUUGCAAUCUUCCUCAAAAAUUCAAUUAAAAGCAGUAAGUAAUUUUAAAAUUGCACUAUAGGAUAAACAUGUCUAAAAUCAUAUAAUUAGCCAAAUAUGAUAGUUUAAGCGAUCGUGCUAGAACCACGGAAUCUGAGGGUACCUAACACAUUCCCUUGGGUUAAUAGAACUCAUUACUCAAGAACUUCUGGUUCGCAGACCUCAAUCGGAAAUUCGAAAAUUUCCUCGCUUUUGGAUUCAAGAUAAAUCGAUGACUUGGGACACCAAAAUCCAAACCUAUCCCAAAUGGAGACUCUGAAAUAAAUAAAUAAUCCAAAUUCGAAUAAUGUCACUUAUAGUGGAAAAAUUCCCUUAUGCAUUUAUCCUACGAGGUAGGUGUGUAAAAAAGGAGGUGUUAAAAAGAAGUCAACAAUGAAAGGCCUACAAAGGCGAAAUAAAGAUGGAAAAGGUUAAGUCCCACGCGACUAGCCGUUGCAGCAAAGUUUGAGGAGACAAAAGUUCCCAAUGUUCCGAAGAAAAGAAAAGAAAAGAAAAAGAAAAAAAACGACAAUCAGAAAGGAAAGGCCUACGAAGGCAAAAUAAAGUUGAAAGCUGAGUUCUACCGACCAACCAUCAUGGAAAAGUCUGAAAAACAUUAGAGGUUCUCCAGAGCCUGAUAUGAAUCAAUCCUUAGGGAGCAAAUAGUAGCAGCAGAGGAUCUCAAUAGAAGUUGGGCCGGGAUCAAGCAAUCAAGGCCACAGAACCAACCACCAUCUCAAACUAACAAUUGUUAUUUGUUGAAAAUUGAAACAGGUGCGAUACGAGAAACCGUGUAAAAGCAGGUGCAGUCAAAAGGAAAAUGCGCAAGUGACGAAACAGCUUCGCAGAAAAUAAUCAAUGCAAAAGGGAAGUUUCCUCCAAGUUAUUUCCUGCAUCUUAUUAAAAUAAAAAGGAGGAAGAAGAUGACAAAAGAGGGAAAACCCCAAAAAAGAAUAGUUUAGAAUUCCCAGUACCAACCUUUAGCCAACAUUAGGGCUCAAAUCCCUGAGUUGAGCGUUUUUCUUUUAGCUAACAUUAGGGCUUCAAUCCCUGAGUUGAGCGUUUUUCUUUUAGCUAACAUUAGGGCUUCAAUCCUGAGUUGAGCAUUUUUUCUUUAGCCAACAUUAGGGCUCCAAUCCCCGAGUUGAGCGUUUUUCCCUUUAGCCAACAUUAGGGCUCCAAUCUCUGAGUUGAGAGUUUUUCCUUAGCCAACAUUACGGCUCCAAUCCCAGAGUUGAGCGUUUUUCCUUUUAGCCAACAUCAGGGUUCGAAUCCCUGAGUUGAUCGCUUUCCCUUAGCCAAUAUUAGUGCUCCAAUCCUUGAGUUGAGCAUUUUUCCUUUAGCCAACAUUAGGGCUCCAAUCCCUGAGUUGAUCGUUUUUCCUUAGCCGACAUUAGGGCUCCAAUACCUGAGUUUAGCUUUUUUUCCAUAGCCAACAUCAGGGCUCCAAUCCCUGAGCUGAGAGUUUUUCCUUAGCCAACAUUAGGGAUCCAACCCCUGAGUUGAGCAUUUUUCCUUAGCCAAUAUUAGGGCUCAAAUCCAUGAGUUCAGCGUUUUUUCUUAGCCAACAUUAGGGCUCCAAUCCCUAAGUUGAGCGUUUUCCUUAGCCAACAUUAAUGCUCCAAUUCUUGAGUUGAGCAAUUUUCCUUACCCGACAUUAAGGCUCAAAUCCCAAAGUUAAGAGUUUUUUCUUAGCCAACAUCAGGGCUCGAAUACCUGAGUUGAGCAUUUUUUCCUUUAGCCAACAUUAGGGAACCAAUCCAUAAGUUGAGCGUUUUCCUUAGCCUACAUUAGGGCUCCAAUCCCUGAGUUGAGCGUUUUUCCCCUUAGCCAACAUUAGGGCUCCAAUCCCUAAGUUGAGCGUUUUUCCUUAGCCAAUAUUAGGGCUCUAAUCCCUGAGUUGAGCGUUUUUUCUUUAGCCAACAUUAGGGCUCCAAUCUUUGAAUUGAGCAUUUUUCCCUUUAGCCAACAUUAAGGCUCCAAUCCAUGAGUUGAGCAUUUUUUCUUUAGCCAACAUUAGGGCUCUAAUCCCUGAGUUGAGCGUUUUUCCCCUUAGCCAACAUUAGUGCUCCAAUCCCUGAGGUGAGCGUUUUCCCUUUAGCCAACAUUAGAGCUCCAAUCCCUGAGUUGAGCAUUGUUCCCUUUAGCCAAUAUUAGGGCUCCAAUCCCUGAGUAGAGUGUUUUUCCUUAGCCAACAUUAGGGCUCUAAUCCCUGAGUUGAGCGUUUUGUUUUUCUUAGCCAACAUUAGGGCUCCAAUCCCUGAGUUGAGCGUUUUUUCCUUUAGCCAACAUUAGGGCUCCAAUCCCUGAGUUGAGCAUUUUUCCCUUUAGCCAACAUUAGCGCUCCAAUCCCAGAGUUGAGCGUUUUUCUUUAGCCAACAUUAGGGAUCCAAUCCCCGAGUUGAGUGUUUUUUUUCUUAGCCAACAUUAGGGCUCUAAUCCUUGAGUUGAGCAUUUUUUUCCUUAGCCUAAAUUAGGGAUCCAAUCCCUGAGUUGAGCAUUUUUUCCUUUAGCCAACAUUAGGCCUCCAAUCCCUGAGUUGGAUGUUUUUUUCAUUUAGCAACCAUUAGGACUCCAAUCCUUGAGUUGAGCGUUUUUUACUUUAGCCAACAUUAGGGCUCCGAUCCAUGAGUUGGGCUUUUUUCUUUUAGCCAACAUUAAGGCUCCAAUCCCUGCGUUGACGUUUUCGCGACAGGACUCUGCCCCAAUUUAUCCUAUCAUAGACAAAUACAAUUCUUUAGAAUGAAAAAAAAAAGAAAAAGAAAAAGUUCAGAUUUUUGUCAGAAAUAACUCACCAAAUUUUUCUAGUGAAAAACUGGGGCAGAAAAUUUUGUUGUUUGUUAUUUGAGCAUGUUUGACCUCGAAGCACAGGGUCCGAGACAACUGAAAGGAUGAGUCUCAAUCCAGAAUAAAGGAAAGAAGAAAAAGAACAAAAGAUGUGAAUUCAAAAGAUGAAACGAACAUGGAUGCGAGCUGAUUAAAACUUGAUUGAAAUCACAAGCUCCGCAUGUCCCGCUAUGAAUUCAAAUCCUAAAGCGAACAUGGAUGCGAGCUGAUCAAAACUUUGAUUGAAAUCAUAAACUCCACUGGUCUCGCCUCGAUCCGAUGUUGAAGAAAGAUCCAACACCUACAGCGUGCGAGCAUCAAGAUUCAAAUCGGAGUCCACAGCAAAAACAUCUAAGACUUAAAAUUAAAUUGUAAGAGAAUAGAUAGGAAUAUUGUAACUCAUAGUUGAUAGGCAUAGCUAGCUUAGUUUUUGAUUUUCCUUUUAGUAUAAUAAGGAGGUCAACAAGCAGUAGCAGCAGCAGCAGCAGUGAAACCACAGCUUCGGUAGUCCCAACUACCACACUCCUGACCUACACUGACCUGAUUCCUCUUUAGCCGAGGAUAUGUAGGUAAUCUCUGAAGUAGGGUGCGGUCAAGCUUUUCAAAAUGCUUCUCAUGGAGUAUCAAGCAUGCAAAAAUCUCUCAUGAUUGCUCAUUUAUCUUUGCCCGAAGACCCUUCUUGUCUCCGAGCAAAGAGGAGCAGUUGUGAGCAUGUGAUUUUUCCCUCGCUUGAAUUAUUCCUACAUAAUUCAUAAAAUUAGGAUUUUUCUUUUAAUUAUUUAAUUUUAGAAUUUAGUUGCAUAAUUUUGUGUUUGAUUGCAUUUUGUGUGCAUUUUAGUCUGUGUAAUUCAUAAAAAAUACAAAAAAAUAACACCUUUGCAUUUUGGAUUCAAUUUUAUAUUUUUAGUUUUAUUAGUUAAUUAAUAUUACCAAAAACAAGAGAAAAUAACAAAACUAGUGAUUUUAUAUUUUUAUUUUAGUUUUCUUUUUAAAUUGAGACUUAAUUAAUCUUAGAAAAAUUAAUUAGUUUAAUUUAGAAUUAAAAUCAGGUCUUUGUUCAUUUUUAUUUUUAUAUUUAACAAAAAUAAUAUAUAUAUAGGAGGGGGGGAGGUCAAAAGGGGGAGAAUAGCUAAGAACUCCCUGAAUUCCUAGAUGACUAAAAAAUAAAAAUUACUGUUUUAUUGAAAAAUCCAUAGAAAUUCCUUAUAUAUAUAAUAAAACGGUAAAGCUGGAAAUUCGAAGACCCUUUGUUUUGGGCCAAUUUACAAAUAAUUUGUGAGCCCAAAUCAGCCAAACCAUGUCCCCGACCCAUAUCCACACCCGGUCCAUCCCCAGCCCAAAACGACGCCGUUUGGACAAGCCGUAAUCAGAGCCAUCCAUUCUUGUUGAUCUAACAGUGAUGAAGCCGGGUAGGCUUCAUAUAUAAUGGUCUCCAAACACUCCUACCCCAAAAAGAGACCUGGUACCUUGUCUCAAAACUCCCUAAUAUAAGCCAGCACAUCGCCACCGUUCCUCCGCCAUCUCCCACCGUCCGCCGCCGGCCGGAAGGAUGCUCUGAUGACCCCUAAAACUACACCACCUCACCUCCUCGACCUCCUCUUUCCAUUUCUGCCAUUAGUGUCCUUCGAACAUUAGCCAGUCUCGGCGAAUAUUUUUUUGAAUCGACGGCUGCUCCGCCUCACAUGGAAGAGCCGGUGCCAAAUGACUCCAAACAAAAGUACCAUAGGUUCUCCUAACCUCCCUCAUCCCAAAUCUGUAAAGCCUAGCCGUCGAAUAUCAGCCGAGCUCCUCGAAUGUUAAAUUGAAAACUCCGACCAAAUCUCACCACCCUCCAAACCUCUCCAAAAUCAUACCCUAUGGUCUUCUUACCGCCUCACCCCAAAUUCCAAACUAAAAAUCCUCAAACCCGGUUGGAAUCACUCAAAUUUUGGAUCUAGGGUUUAAUUUUAAAGAGGUCUAACCCUGACUGGAUUUUUAAAUAUGCAAGUGAUCCCCAGUUAAUGUUAUUUGUUUGUUUUUGGCAAAUUAAACAUAUAACAUUAGCUUAGGAUCAAAUUCAAGGUCAAUCCAAGUUGCGACCUAAAAUAGUGAGUUCUGAUCCUUUUCUUUCUUUCUUUCUAUUUGCAUGUUUAUUCUGUUGUUCCUUUGUAUAUUUUCUUUUGCUCUUGGU
RNAcentral lists this long non-coding RNA (8554 nucleotides) under Nicotiana benthamiana. RNAcentral describes it as "long non-coding RNA (NBEN_LNC003545)". The record is from RNAcentral. Lineage: Eukaryota; Viridiplantae; Streptophyta; Magnoliopsida; Solanales; Solanaceae.